CACACGAAGGAGCCGACCGUCAUGUUAACGUAGGUGGGGCCGCGCUGGUCGCAGUCGAAGCACUUUCGGUUGUGCGGGAGGCCGGUCAUGUCCCGCAGCAUCUUCAACGGCAAGAGGAGGCCCGCCCUGGGCGGCCGGUAGCCAAGUGUCCGCUGGCGCCCUCUGCUGGCCAGGAGGAGUCACUGCGGCCUCGCUGAGGCGGUAAAGAAACUGAGGCACAGAAAAAUUAAGUUGCUUGCUCAAGCUCCCAGGGGAGAUCCAGGAUUGGACAGUCUGAUUCAGAAACUGUGCUCAUAAUCACCGUACUAUACUUUAUCUAGUUGACAAUAACCACAUUUGAUGAAUGUGGCAAAACCGCAGAACAGC
RNAcentral lists this long non-coding RNA (366 nucleotides) under Homo sapiens (human). Its description in RNAcentral is "HSALNT0048269". The record is from RNAcentral. Lineage: Eukaryota; Metazoa; Chordata; Mammalia; Primates; Hominidae.